CUCAAAACAGAACACUAGAGCUGGAAAUGACCUGAGAACACAGAAUGUUUCAGCUUGAAGGGACAGAAGAGAUCAUUUCAUCCAACUCUCUCUCUCCUCUCAAAUUUUACAAAUGAUAAAGAUAUAUGAAAUGGCCAAGGGCAUCCAAACCACCAGAGCUGAGACCAGAAACCACAUUUCCUAAGUUCCAGUCCUGGACAUUUGUUCCCUAUGUUACCAGGAGGUGAGAAUUGAAUUUGACCAUGAAGAAUGGAUUGUGGUGUCAUUGGAAAGAAUAAUAAUCCCAUGCAAUGAAGAUGGGGUAAACAAAGAAAGAGUUCUAAAAAUGAAGUACUAAGAAGUGAUUCACUACAAAGUGGUGAGGCAAAUGAGACUAUAAGUUAAGGAAGACCCAUAAACUCAUAGACUUUAAAAGCUAGAAGGGACCGAGGACAUCUUCUACUUCAAUCAGCUCAUUUUAAAGAUCCAGCCAUCAAGAACAGAAUUUUACUGACUUGGAGAAUUCAAUAAAGCAGCUGAGGAAGACUUAAAAUAAUAAUGAUGCCGGAUAUUUCUAGAGCCAAAGACCCAGGAGAGCCUGAAGCACCUUUCCCCCGCAAGAGUAAGCUUAAUUGCCACAACAUGCAUGGCCCAGCAGCAAGAUCUUCGAAAGAACAGGGACCCUGCUGCCUGCACAUUGUACUAAUAUUAGUUACCUAUCAGCAGCCCUCCCCCAUCAGGGUCGAUGAAUUUACCCUGUUGCCUGGAGACCGGACUCAAACAGAGACCCAGAGAGAGCACCCAGGCGCUGGAUCCCAAGGGGUUAAGAAGGAAUCCUGGAGUGGAUAACUCCUGGAGCGGAUUACGGAGCUGAGUAACCCCAGCAAAGUGAAGCCUCAGCUAGAGCUGGAAAGACACAACAAGAAGAAGGCAGUGUCUGUGGACCCCCUCCCCAGGCAGGAUUUACCUCCUGUCCCAGUGCUCAGACUGCCUCCUGCUGUA
Molecule: long non-coding RNA, 981 nt
Filed under: Monodelphis domestica (gray short-tailed opossum)
Lineage: Eukaryota; Metazoa; Chordata; Mammalia; Didelphimorphia; Didelphidae
Description: lncRNA (ENSMODG00000048873.1)
Source: RNAcentral